UUUGAGGGCUGGCUACCACUGGGGAAGGAUCUCUGGUUGGAGAUCCCUCCCUUGUGGAGUCUUUCAUGCAUGCUUAGGUCUUUAGAGACAGCUUCCAGCCCUUCAGAGGAAGGGAGAAGGAAAGGAUAUGCUCUCAGGAGGCAGGUUAUGAAUCAAGAUCACUUCAUACUGAACACUGACGGGCAGCCAAAGGAAGUUCUGAAGCAGAGGAUUCGUGCAAUAAAGAGGUCCCCUGAGGUCUUCAAUGAGGAGCUGAAAAGUGAUGGAAAGAUGUCUUGAACUUCUUACAUCCCGUGUUCUGCAGCCUGUGAGGAGGUGAAAGCAUGAAGUUUUUUUCUAUUUCAUGAAGAAUGUGCUGAUAAAACAUUGCAUAAUCAAACAAACCUAGGCCAGAAUGGAAUAUUUCGUGUUGAGCUUGUUGACCUGAAUUGUGUUUGUAAGCCUGUGGUGGUACAGCUGCUUUUUCUAAGGUUUGGGGAGAUCCAUCAGAGCACAAAGGCAGGGCUAGCUGUGCGCUGAGCUGAGCAAUGCCCUGCUGCGAUUAGUGGGAUGGCACUUCUGAGGAAGGCAGGACAGUGAGUGAUCCAGCCUCUGCUUUGUGGUUCCUUUUGUUCAUGCCUCUGCCCUGUAUUGUUAUUUCUACUUGCAUCGUUUCCAUUUGAAGACUGACUUCUUUUUAGCAGGGUAAGGAUAUUGUUUGAUCUGCUCCAUGUCAAUGUUCUUUCUCUCUUUUCAGGGCUGCUCAGGGCUUCUGACACUUCGGGUUUGUUUUGUGCUAGCAAGGCUGUCUCGGGGCAUGGAGGGGGCAUGGGGAUCUCAGAGUGCAUCUCUGAAGGGAUAGAGGGGAAGCUGUGGGCUGCCAGUUGUGUCCAGGGUCCUCUCACCAUUCCAUUGUGGCUGGGAGACUUUGUUCCUACAGUGCUCCAUGGCUCUGGAAGCACUGUACUUCUCCAGAUGCAGCUUGUUUUGACAGGACAAAGGCAUACCAGAAAAGUCAGUGUAAAAAUUGUCUUAAAACCUUGUUGGGGGAAGAUUCAGAAAAGAAAGAGUAGGGUCAGCCUUCUGGUUAGAGGUCUUGCACCACUCUGUGGUGAAGGGACUGGGAUACCCUAAGCCCUUUGCUUCCUUGGUUACGCACUUGAGAAAGUCAAGGAAGGCCUGAGUUUGCUCUUUUGCUCUCAGGUUUAUCCCAAAGGCAGCCUGGAUGAGUGGUGAACAUAUGGCAAAGCUAAAAACCUUCUAUUGCCCUUUGCACAAAGUGUGCUGCAGUGGUGGUUGGCUUACAGCCCCACAUGCCCCAGCUGCAGCACAAGGGAUGGGGACAUCAAAGGACAUUUCUCUUUUUUCCUUCAUAGAAAGAGAAGUGCUUUUUCCUGGUUGAAUGCUGAGAUGGAUAAUACAUGGAAUAAACUUCAAGUACUUUGAGAUCACAUUAUUAAGUCUGGUAGUUUCUUGCACCCAGGUAGGCAACAACAGACUCUUGAAGGCCAUU
Non-coding RNA from Meleagris gallopavo (turkey), 1492 nucleotides. The record is from RefSeq and is a predicted model, not a curated record. Lineage: Eukaryota; Metazoa; Chordata; Aves; Galliformes; Phasianidae.